RNAcentral lists this unclassified non-coding RNA (113 nucleotides) under Chryseobacterium taichungense. Its description in RNAcentral is "Flavo-1 RNA". The record is from RNAcentral. Lineage: Bacteria; Pseudomonadati; Bacteroidota; Flavobacteriia; Flavobacteriales; Weeksellaceae.
CCCUAGCCCCGAUCGAGCAAUUGUUUGAGCUCAUUUCAUUAGAAUUCGGCGCGGCGGCUCCGCCGCCGCGCCGAAUUCUAAUGAAAUAGCGAGUGCGGAGAGCGGGAAAUAGC